GAAAGAAAACCAACCUAAGGAAAGAGAGUCAGAAUAUUGAGUUAUAGGUUGUGUCUAGACAAGACAAAAACACACACAUAACCAUAAUAAUCAAAUGAUUGUGAAAUUGCUCAUUAGAGAGAGAAUACGGUUUUAAUAGAUAGCAUGUUGGGGUAGAAGUGAGGACAACCUGGGUUUGAAUCUCACCAUGGGUACUACUGAGUGACCCUGGGUAAGCUCUCUUAACUUUCCUUGUCUGUAAAAUGGGUGUAACAAUAGUACCCACCUCACAGGGUUAUUGUGAGGAUCAGCUGAGCUAAUUUGUGUAAAGUGCUUUGUAAACCUUGAAUCACUUAACUGUCACAGAUGAUGCUGAUGUGGGACUUUCUCUCCCUUCAUCCCCUACCCCAGCAGCUAUGGUCUGGGGUGUUGGUAUGUUAGUAGAAAGAACCACACGCUAGGAGUCCAUUUACCCCCAGGGGUUCAUGGUCUCCAACAUAGCUUUCAGAUGCCAGUGUCUCACAUUCCCAAGAAUCCAGACUGUUUUCCAUCUAUUCCUGUUGAGUAAGGGCACUCUCCCUCCUGAGCUUCCUUCCAGCCUAAACUCCUCUCCUCUCCCUUCCUUUUUCACAUUUCACAAUGAGGCCCCCAUUAAAUAUUCAUCAAAUGAAUGAAUGAACAACCUUUAGCCCCUUUCAUGUAACUGAAUUCAAUAGAAAGUCAUAAAACUACUCUUUCUUUAAAAAAAAACAACAAAAGGCAUUUCCGGAUCUAGAACAGGUCAUGUUCCAAAACUUUAUUCUUAAGUCAGUUUUUUUGUAAGUUUCCAGGCCCUUUUCUGCAUAGAAUUGGCCUUAACCAUUCUGUGGAGGUUCCCAGGCCAAUCAACAGAAGUCACCGCACUGAGCAUGUACACCAUUGUAGAAUACAAUCGCCUAUAGCACACAGAUCAUAGAAUGGUAGGGUUAGAAGGGACCUCAGUAUCUCGCUCAGUGCUGGGUACAAAGUAGCUAUUUGGAUACGGUGCUGAUGAGCAUAUUGAAAGGACAUGGAGCCAGGAGAUCUGUCCUCUGAGGACUUUCCAGGAUGUGACAUGCUCUCAGUCUAGGUUGGAUUUAUCAGCCCAACCCAAAGGUCCCAACAGAUUCAACAACCAAUAACAUCCAUUAAGCACCUAAUUAUAUAUAUAUAUAUAUAUAUUAUAUAUAUAUAUAUAUAUAUAUAUAUAUUAUAUAUAUAUAUAUAUAUAUAUAUAUAUAUAUAUAUAUAUAUAUAUAUAUAUAUAUGUAUAGCAUGGUGGUAGAUAUUUCAGUUUCCCCCAUUUGCAAGAUAUCAAUAAUACUAGCACCUACUUCACAGGGCUGCUGUGAGGAUCAAAUAAGAUAAUGUACAUAAAAAGCAUCUUAUCAAUGCUAGCUAUAAUGAUGAUUGUGGUAGUGGUAAUAGAGAGGUGGAUGACAGCAAUGGAGAGAUAGCGGGGGCAAAGACAGGAUGUUCAAGUCCUGUCUUUGACCCAUACUGGCUGCAUGACUCUGGACAAAUCGCUUAACCUUUCAGUGUCCCCACACAACUUUCUAAGACCAAGAUGCAUCGUUGUUUCUGAUCUACGCAGUAGAGGGAUUUUUUUUUCUUAUUUCUUUAAUCCCUCUCCAAAUCCCUUAUACCAGAGGUACCCAAACUUACUUGGCCUACUGCUCACUUAAAAAAAAAUUACUCAGUGCCCCCUUGGAAGUCUAUUUUCUUUAACUCUUUAAUGUUUUGGGCUUUUUUGAAAUUUGCAUCAUUUCAAAAAAAUAAAAUUUUUUAAAUGACUUCUCUUAAAUUUAAU
Long non-coding RNA from Phascolarctos cinereus (koala), 1807 nucleotides. NCBI's taxonomy places the organism in Eukaryota, Metazoa, Chordata, Mammalia, Diprotodontia, Phascolarctidae. The record is from Ensembl.